AAGUAGCAAUACUUAGUGGCAGACGGGUGAGUAACAUGUGGGUAUCUACCCUUUGGCCUGGAAUAACACGAGGAAACUUGUGCUAAUACCGGAUAAGUCUUUACGGAGAAAGCUUUAUGCACCAUUGGAUGAGCCCGCACUUGAUUAGUUUGUUGGUAGGGUAAUGGCCUACCAAGACUAUGAUCAAUAGCUGAUUUGAGAGGAUGAUCAGCCACAUUGGGACUGAGACACGGCCCAAACUCCUACGGGAGGCAGCAGUGGGGAAUCUUGCACAAUGGAGGAAACUCUGAUGCAGCGAUGCCGCGUGAGUGAAGAAGGCCUUUGGGUUGUAAAGCUCUUUCGUCGGGGAAGUAAAUGACUGUACCCGAAUAAGAAGGUCCGGCUAACUUCGUGCCAGCAGCCGCGGUAAUACGAAGGGACCUAGCGUAGUUCGGAAUUACUGGGCUUAAAGAGUUCGUAGGUGGUUGAAAAAGUUGGUGGUGAAAUCCCAGAGCUUAACUCUGGAACUGCCAUCAAAACUUUUCAGCUAGAGUAUGAUAGAGGAAAGCAGAAUUUCUAGUGUAGAGGUGAAAUUCGUAGAUAUUAGAAAGAAUACCAAUUGCGAAGGCAGCUUUCUGGAUCAUUACUGACACUGAGGAACGAAAGCAUGGGUAGCGAAGAGGAUUAGAUACCCUCGUAGUCCAUGCCGUAAACGAUGUGUGUUAGACGUUGGAAAUUUAUUUUCAGUGUCGCAGGGAAACCGAUAAACACACCGCCUGGGGAGUACGACCGCAAGGUUAAAACUCAAAU
RNAcentral lists this ribosomal RNA (789 nucleotides) under uncultured Alphaproteobacteria bacterium. RNAcentral describes it as "bacterial SSU rRNA". It matches the Rfam family "Bacterial small subunit ribosomal RNA", at positions 80 to 906 of the family's 1533-position model. Lineage: Bacteria; Pseudomonadati; Pseudomonadota; Alphaproteobacteria. The record is from RNAcentral.